RNAcentral lists this ribosomal RNA (798 nucleotides) under Triticum aestivum (bread wheat). RNAcentral describes it as "partial small subunit ribosomal RNA". The record is from RNAcentral. Lineage: Eukaryota; Viridiplantae; Streptophyta; Magnoliopsida; Poales; Poaceae.
AUGUCGAUGCCAGAAGAGUUUGUGAUAUUUCCUGCUGAAGGGAAGAUUUCCAAUGGGCCCGAGGGGGCACUAGUGAGUCCCGAUUGCCCGUUUCUGGUCGCACGGCUACCAGAGCCACUGAACAAGUCGUUCGAGCAAGUGCGACGCUGGAUAAUGCAGCUCUUCCAGUUGAAUGACGUGACACAUGAGCUCACUCCGCAGCACAUUCUGUAUGUCAGGAACAAUCCCAUGGCUCCUCCUUCCACCGUGCUGAUUGACAUAACUGGGGACGAUUCCUGGAGGGCGUUCCUGAAUGUGGCAUGGCGCCAUGUUGGAGUUUUCAGGCUGUUUGUCAAGUGGAGUGCCAAGAAAACAACCUCUGAUGAAGAUCCUGCAGUGACAGAUGAAUCUGAUGAUGAUGGCAGCUGGCCAACUUGCAAGCAUGAUAAACCUUGCACCAUUGAAACUUCAUGGGACCGUCAAGACCCAGGGCGAAGGUUCUACCGCUGCCCUCUCUUCGCGGAUUCAAAACAGGACUGUGGCUUCACCCAAUGGCUGGACAGGAAGUUCCCUGAGAAGGCGAUUGGGCACAUGAACUACCUCACGGACAAGGUUGAUUCACUCGGGCAGCAGGUCGACAACCUGAAGUGCGAGCUUGAGGAACUUCGUCAUCGUUGCCAGAAAAGGUCGAUCGCAGAAGCUGUUGUCAGUCAUGGAGACAAGUGCCCAUGUGGAAAGAUCCCUUGCGACGCAGCUUGUUGCAAUCAGGAUGAAAAGCCGUGCCCAAGUCAGAUUCGUAGAUUGGCUAAGGCCAAUUAG